AGUGAACGCUGGCGGUAGGCCUAACACAUGCAAGUCGAACGGCAGCACAGUAAGAGCUUGCUCUUACGGGUGGCGAGUGGCGGACGGGUGAGGAAUACAUCGGAAUCUACUUUUUCGUGGGGGAUAACGUAGGGAAACUUACGCUAAUACCGCAUACGACCUACGGGUGAAAGCAGGGGAUCUUCGGACCUUGCGCGAUUGAAUGAGCCGAUGUCGGGUUAGCUAGUUGGCGGGGUAAAGGCCCACCAAGGCGACGAUCCGUAGCUGGUCUGAGAGGAUGAUCAGCCACACUGGAACUGAGACACGGUCCAGACUCCUACGGGGGGCAGCAGUGGGGAAUAUUGGACAAUGGGCGCAAGCCUGAUCCAGCCAUACCGCGUGGGUGAAGAAGGCCUUCGGGUUGUAAAGCCCUUUUGUUGGGAAAGAAAAGCAGCAGGUUAAUACCCCGCUGUUCUGACGGUACCCAAAGAAUAAGCACCGGCUAACUUCGUG
Molecule: ribosomal RNA, 492 nt
Filed under: uncultured bacterium
Lineage: Bacteria
Description: partial 16S ribosomal RNA
Rfam family: Bacterial small subunit ribosomal RNA
Source: RNAcentral